This 304-nucleotide unclassified non-coding RNA is filed under the name uncultured bacterium. Its description in RNAcentral is "contains 16S-23S intergenic spacer region". The record is from RNAcentral.
UCCGGUUUAUCACCGGCAGUCUCCACAGAGUUCUCGGCUCUACCCGUUAGUAACUGUGAACAAGGGUUGCGCUCGUUGCGGGACUUAACCCAACAUCUCACGGACAUGUCAAGCCCAGGUAAGGUUCUUCGCGUUGCGUCGAAUUAAACCACAUGCUCCGCUGCUUGUGCGGGCCCCCGUCAAUUCCUUUGAGUUUUAGCCUUGCGGCCGUACUCCCCAGGCGGGGCACUUAAUGCGUUAGCUACGGCGCCGGGGGAGUCGACACCCCCAACACCUAGUGCCCAUCGUUUACGGCGUGGACUAC